GACGAACGCUGGCGGCGUGCUUAACACAUGCAAGUCGAACGAUGAACCGGUUUCGGCCGGGGAUUAGUGGCGAACGGGCGAGUAACACGUGGGCAAUCUGCCCUGCACUCUGGGAUAAGCCCGGGAAACUGGGUCUAAUACCGGAUACGACACUCCGAGGCAUCUUGGGGUGUGGAAAGUUCCGGCGGUGCAGGAUGAGCCCGCGGCCUAUCAGCUUGUUGGUGGGGUAAUGGCCUACCAAGGCGACGACGGGUAGCCGGCCUGAGAGGGUGACCGGCCACACUGGGACUGAGACACGGCCCAGACUCCUACGGGAGGCAGCAGUGGGGAAUAUUGCACAAUGGGCGAAAGCCUGACGCAGCGACGCCGCGUGAGGGAUGACGGCCUUCGGGUUGUAAACCUCUUUCAGCAGGGAAGAAGCGAAAGUGACGGUACCUGCAGAAGAAGCACCGGCUAACUACGUG
Molecule: ribosomal RNA, 464 nt
Filed under: uncultured bacterium
Lineage: Bacteria
Description: partial 16S ribosomal RNA
Rfam family: Bacterial small subunit ribosomal RNA
Source: RNAcentral